UACGGGGGGAGCAAGCGUUGUUCGGAUUUACUGGGCGUAAAGGGCGCGUAGGCGGUAGCACAAGUCAGUUGUGAAAUCUUCGGGCUUAACUCGGAACGGUCAACUGAUACUGCGCGGCUAGAGUGCAGAAGGGGCAACUGGAAUUCUCGGUGUAGCGGUGAAAUGCGUAGAUAUCGAGAGGAACACCUGCGGCGAAGGCGGGUUGCUGGGCUGACACUGACGCUGAUGCGCGAAAGCCAGGGGAGCGAACGGG
Molecule: ribosomal RNA, 253 nt
Filed under: uncultured bacterium
Lineage: Bacteria
Description: partial 16S ribosomal RNA
Rfam family: Bacterial small subunit ribosomal RNA
Source: RNAcentral